This 461-nucleotide ribosomal RNA is filed under the name uncultured bacterium. Its description in RNAcentral is "bacterial SSU rRNA". It matches the Rfam family "Bacterial small subunit ribosomal RNA", at positions 340 to 793 of the family's 1533-position model. The record is from RNAcentral.
UACGGGAGGCAGCAGUGGGGAAUAUUGCACAAUGGGCGCAAGCCUGAUGCAGCCAUGCCGCGUGUAUGAAGAAGGCCUUCGGGUUGUAAAGUACUUUCAGUAGUGAGGAAGGUGGGUAUGUUAAUAGCAUAUUCAUUUGACGUUAGCUGCAGAAGAAGCACCGGCUAACUCCGUGCCAGCAGCCGCGGUAAUACGGAGGGUGCGAGCGUUAAUCGGAAUUACUGGGCGUAAAGCGCAUGCAGGUGGUUUGUUAAGUCAGAUGUGAAAGCCCGGGGCUCAACCUCGGAAUUGCAUUUGAAACUGGCAAACUAGAGUACUGUAGAGGGGGUAGAAUUUCAGGUGUAGCGGUGAAAUGCGUAGAGAUCUGAAGGAAUACCGGUGGCGAAGGCGGCCCCCUGGACAGAUACUGACACUCACGAUGCGAAAGCGUGGGGACGCAAACAGGAUUAGAUCCCUGGUAG